This 271-nucleotide ribosomal RNA is filed under the name Klebsiella pneumoniae. RNAcentral describes it as "partial 23S ribosomal RNA". The record is from RNAcentral. Lineage: Bacteria; Pseudomonadati; Pseudomonadota; Gammaproteobacteria; Enterobacterales; Enterobacteriaceae.
GGUUAAGCGACUAAGCGUACACGGUGGAUGCCCUGGCAGUCAGAGGCGAUGAAGGACGUGCUAAUCUGCGAAAAGCGUCGGUAAGGUGAUAUGAACCGUUAUARCCGGCGAUGUCCGAAUGGGGAAACCCAGUGYRAUUCGUYRCACUAUCGUUAACUGAAUACAUAGGUUAACGAGGCGAACCGGGGGAACUGAAACAUCUAAGUACCCCGAGGAAAAGAAAUCAACCGAGAUUCCCCCAGUAGCGGCGAGCGAACGGGGAGCAGCCCAG